AUUGAACGCUGGCGGCAGGCCUAACACAUGCAAGUCGAGCGGAUGAAGGGAGCUUGCUCCUGGAUUCAGCGGCGGACGGGUGAGUAAUGCCUAGGAAUCUGCCUGGUAGUGGGGGAUAACGUCCGGAAACGGGCGCUAAUACCGCAUACGUCCUGAGGGAGAAAGUGGGGGAUCUUCGGACCUCAUGCUAUCAGAUGAGCCUAGGUCGGAUUAGCUAGUUGGUGGGGUAAAGGCCUACCAAGGCGACGAUCCGUAACUGGUCUGAGAGGAUGAUCAGUCACACUGGAACUGAGACACGGUCCAGACUCCUACGGGAGGGAGCAGUGGGGAAUAGUGGACAAUGGGCGAAAGCCUGAUCCAGCCAUGCCGCGUGUGUGAAGAAGGUCUUCGGAUUGUAAAGCACUUUAAGUUGGGAGGAAGGGCAGUAAGUUAAUACCUUGCUGUUUUGACGUUACCAACAGAAUAAGCACCGGCUAACUUCGUG
Molecule: ribosomal RNA, 484 nt
Filed under: uncultured bacterium
Lineage: Bacteria
Description: partial 16S ribosomal RNA
Rfam family: Bacterial small subunit ribosomal RNA
Source: RNAcentral